Molecule: ribosomal RNA, 253 nt
Filed under: uncultured bacterium
Lineage: Bacteria
Description: partial 16S ribosomal RNA
Rfam family: Bacterial small subunit ribosomal RNA
Source: RNAcentral
GACAGAGGGUGCAAACGUUGUUCGGAAUUACUGGGCGUAAAGCGCGUGUAGGCGGCCCUGUAAGUCGGGUGUGAAAUCCCACGGCUCAACCGUGGAAGUGCACUCGAAACUACAGGGCUAGAGUCCUGGAGAGGAAGGUGGAAUGCUUGGUGUAGAGGUGAAAUUCGUAGAUAUCAAGCGGAACACCGGUGGCGAAGGCGGCCUUCUGGACAGUGACUGACGCUGAGACGCGAGAGCGUGGGGAGCAAACAGG